GGAGGAGUGGCCGAGUGGUUGAAGGCGGCGGUCUUGAAAACCGUUGAGUGUAACAGCUCCGUGGGUUCGAAUCCUACCUCCUCCGCCA
This 88-nucleotide transfer RNA is filed under the name Pseudomonadota bacterium. RNAcentral's name for it is "Proteobacteria bacterium (groundwater metagenome) tRNA-Ser". It matches the Rfam family "tRNA". From Rfam's summary of the family: Transfer RNA (tRNA) molecules are approximately 80 nucleotides in length. Their secondary structure includes four short double-helical elements and three loops (D, anti-codon, and T loops). Further hydrogen bonds mediate the characteristic L-shaped molecular structure. tRNAs have two regions of fundamental functional importance: the anti-codon, which is responsible for specific mRNA codon recognition, and the 3' end, to which the tRNAs corresponding amino acid is attached (by aminoacyl-tRNA synthetases). tRNAs cope with the degeneracy of the genetic code in two manners: having more than one tRNA (with a specific anti-codon) for a particular amino acid; and 'wobble' base-pairing, i.e. permitting non-standard base-pairing at the 3rd anti-codon position. Lineage: Bacteria; Pseudomonadati; Pseudomonadota. The record is from RNAcentral. RNAcentral also lists the same sequence under 1 other name.